CCUACGGGUGGCAGCAGUGAGGAAUAUUGGUCAAUGGGCGGAAGCCUGAACCAGCCAAGUAGCGUGAGGGAUGAAGGCCCUACGGGUGGUAAACCUCUUUUGCAGGGGAGUAAAGCCCGGCACGUGUGCAGGCCGGCAGGUACCGCGCGAAUAAGGACCGGCUAAUUCCGUGCCAGCAGCCGCGGUAAUACGGAGGACCCGAGCGUUAGCCGGUUUUAUUGGGCUUAAAGGGAGCGGAGGCGGGCGUCAAAGUCAGCGGUAAAAUCGCGGGGCUCAACCGCGCACCGCAGUUGAAACUGGGCGUCUUGAGUGCACGAGAGGUAGGCGGAAUUCGUGGUGUAGCGGUGAAAUGCAUAGAUAUCACGAAGAACCCCGAUUGCGAAGGCAGCUUACCGGAGUGCAACUGACGCUGAGGCUCGAAGGCGUGGGUAUCAAACAGGAUUAGAUACCCGGGUAGUC
RNAcentral lists this ribosomal RNA (459 nucleotides) under uncultured bacterium. RNAcentral describes it as "partial 16S ribosomal RNA". It matches the Rfam family "Bacterial small subunit ribosomal RNA", at positions 338 to 795 of the family's 1533-position model. The record is from RNAcentral.